CGCAGCACUGCCCGGCUCCCGCUCGGGACAGAGCCCGGCUACUUACCCGGCCCUCGGCACGCGUGUCUGACGGGGCAGCACAUCCCUCCACCUUCGCCCAGGAAAAGCGCCCUUUCCGUGGCUUCCCGACACCAGUGAGAUUGGUACAUUUUCUUGCCUGUGUUCUCAUCGUUAGCAUUCUGCUGAGCAGAACAAGCCCCGGGACUCCCGAGGCCACGAGGCCUGCAUGGCAGACGCUGCCCCGUGCGAGGCCCUCCCACGCCAGAGCCGGCAGUCGGCCCUCAGCGCUUUGCCUAGCUGGCAAAGCAACCUGGGACCACGCUGGGCUCUCUGCCCCGAGCCGUGCGGGUUGAGAAACACCAGUCUGGAAGGGACAAAAGCCCACGUUACCAAGGCUUCUGUUGGAAAAGCAGUCCUUGGGACUCAUGGCAGUCUCUGGUGGAACUGAGGAAGGAAGUAGUUCCCUUCAGGAUUUACUGUCAUCUCGCCCAUAUGUAGACAUACAUGUCUAAAUCAACAGCAAGGUCUAAUUUCUCAGCAGUGGCAAACAAUAUCACAAGAUGAACUGAAACAUCAAGAGUGCUUUUAAAAAGGAAGUUGGAGAUCCCAAACAUGGCAUUCUUCAAAUACAACAAAACUUUGGGCAACUCCUGAGUCUGGCACCUGGCCCUGAAUGCCAAGGCUUGUUAUCCCCACUGGAGGAGAAAGGCAGGGGAAGGUCCUUGAGUAGGAAUUGGGGAGAAGCAGAGUAGCAAAGCUUACGGUCAUGGCUCAGUGUGACCUGGCAGGCAGUCAAGCCCACUGCAGAUGGACACAUACAGCUGCCAUCUGAGUGUUUGUACAGCUCUUUCCAGAGUUCCCCCGGGGAAAACAUGUUCCAAAAACCUUCACUCUUAUUUGUCUUUCUUUUUUCUGUCACUGAUAGCAGUCCUCUUCUAGGUGCCCAGUCUCAGUGUCUUGGAUAGAGGAUCUGGUGGCACCCAGGAAGUCAUUAAGAAAUCCAUUAGUAAAAGGUCUUGCUCUGGACUGCUCCAUGGACUAACUGUGGGAAGCCCUGUGAGCUCUCUGAGUUCUAAUCAAUAACAAUACCGGCUCCCAUGGGGCUGCUUCCCAUCCCAAGCCCCAGAGGUUCUGUCACUCUCAGCCUGAGGCUGUGGAAGAAUGGUCUGCCUUCCUCAGCAAGCUGUGGCUGCACAAAAAGAAAAGCAUGAAGCAUGUAAAAAUAACAGAUUUGAGAAAAAAAAAUUUUGAGAAAAUUGUGGGAAGAGGCCCCAAACCAAAUAGCUUCAUAUUUCUUUGCAGACCACAAGUCCAGAGAGUCAAACCAUUCCCGAACACAGUACCAUCUCUUGUCUUGCGCACAAAUGCCACAAACUGCUCCCCCAGUGCCAUGUGCUGAAACACCAGUUUUAAGGGAAGUUAUAUAUGCAUGUCACCAGUAUUUGACUAUAGCUCUUUGGGAAAAGACAAGCUCCUGGAAAUUUCUGUAUCUGGAGGAACUGAAGCUUAAGCAAAGGUUUGCCCAGAGAGGGUACAAAUCAAAGUUGGGGGUCAGUCUGGUCAAAUAGUUGAACUAUUCAGCAUGCCAGGUUUAGGCUUUUGGAAACCUACAAGCACAUGAAAUACAAAAAUGUUUACCAAUUGGGAUGUCCUCUAAUUGCAACUAAAAAAAAAAAAAAAUAGAAAAUCUGAGGAGUAGCUGUAGCUCAACCCAUGUCCAGGCACCAAAAACCUCCAGGAGAAGGGAGGCUCCCAGAGCCUUUAUUCUCUUCCCACUGACAAUCCAGCUGUGCUAGUGCAUAGGGAUGAAUGGUCCUGCUGGCCAUCAGUAGAAGAGUGAAGUGCAGAAAGACCAAACCACACCAGUCAUUCAAAAUAAGCUAAGAACAGGGACUGCGGACAUCAUUGUUCAUUUAUUGAAUCCUCCUGGAAAUUAAUUUUCCAUGCCCUGAAGAAAGCCACUUGGAUAUUUGUAAAUUCAAGUUGUCAUUUUAAUCAGAUGGAAGUCAGUUAGAAUUUUACAAAUAAUUUAAAUAAUGGUCAGAAUUUAAAAUCUAUGUUCCUACUCAAGGGCAUUUAAAGCCAUUGUAAAUGAAAAAUGAAAUUUAUCAACCAUUUGUCCCUUGCACUGAACAAGUGGCCUUCACUGAACAACUGCUGUGUAAGAGUUGUCUUUAUCUUGCUGAAGCUGAGACCAGAACCUACAGCACCAAAUGCUCUUUCUUCAGAGUGUAUCUCAGCACACACACACGCACACAAAGGAGAGUUAACAGCAGGCCUUGCUGACACAGGAGUUUAUCUUAACACAGCUAAUGCAUUACCAGCUAAUUCCUGGAAAGUCAAAGCAGCCAGGUCUCAGACCCUGUUCACACGUGUUGCUUGUGAUAAGAAGCCACACUUUUGUAUUUCUGCAUCUGUUUGUUAGCGUCACUGAACAGGUAAGCUGCUUUACUGCUAAAGGUGCCCUGACCGUCUCGUUUCCUCCCAGCCCCAUGUCAGCCUGCUACUCCAAGGAGUUAUUUUGGCACUGCUGGUUGCUAAUAAACAGCCAUCACACUCUAGGGAGGCUGCACCAUGGUUGGGGAUACAUAAAUUUUAUGCUGUCCAUAGAGGACCUCACAAUUAAAUACUUAAUUGUAUCAUACCCUGAAAGCCCAGAUAAAGUAAUUUGAAAAAGCAGUGCUCUAAUUUCCAGUUGUUUUGUUGUUUAAGAGCUUAGAAAUGGUAAAAGCAGGAACAAGGUUCUAGUCAGACAAAUGUCUGCAAAUUGCCAGAGAUAGGCAAUUAAUACUAAACUGUCAUUAACCCUGCAUACAGCUUUACAAAGCAGAGUAUAAAGUAAUCUGAAAUUGUGUCCUUGCCAGUUUCAUUGGGACUUGCCUUUUCAAUACGAAGACACCAAUUGUUUGAAACAGCUCCUAAUGAGUCAUUUUGGGCCACACAUAAAUUAUUUCUGCCUCAAGGGAUUUGACUGUCAGAUGCAAUAGCAACAAUGAUAUAUUCCUGGUUUGCUUUAUGUCACUGAUUUUGUGAUGUCUCUGUCUAAAUCCAGACAGAUCCAGACCUGGGAUAUCAUUUUGGCAGGGUGCCUCACGAUCAGAGUUAAGAUGUUUCUGCACCUUUCAAAGCCACCUUGAGCUUUAACACAGCCAGAUCCAUUUCCUUCAGGACAAAUUGGGAGCAAUACUUGCCUAUUGCUGGGGUGGGUUAGUCAGCACAGCCUCACCUAAUCCUACUCACCCACUCUUUGUUUGUGACUCAAACAUUUACACUUCAUGAUUUUUCUUUCCUCAUGGACAGUAGUGCUGGAGGCUGAGAGACCAUGCUUCUGGGUGGAUUAUGUCCUGACAGGACUGUGAGCUUGGAUGUGUGACUAACUCAGACCCAGAGGGAAAAAGGCUACCAGGUGUGGUUUCCAAGGCUUGUCUCCCUUCUAAGAUGGUCUUUAUGCUUCGAAACUGGCACCUUUUUAGGAAGGCUGGGCCUCAUUCCUUUGUCAGAAGAGACACAGUAAUGAUGUAAAAUACUCUUGCAUCAACUCAAACAAUACAGAAUAGCUACAUGAAGAGUAGAGUGAGAGACUUGUGGCAUAAAUACUCUCUUGCCAUGAGAAGGGAGGAGGGAAGCUCAUGCUAGCAUGGUAGAAAAGAAACUUGUGAGGCCAAGUGUCCUGAUUUCACUGGAACUGGGCUUGUGGCAGUUUGGGAGCACUGUAGUAGCACAACAAGCUGAUUGGGUGUUAAAUUGCGUGUCUCUGUCACCUGAGCAGAGUCCAGCAGUGAGGAUCCCUGCUGUUGAGCCACUUCACUGCCCGGAACAGUCACCUUACUUAUUGUGGGAUGACCAAAUUAUUUCCCUCCCUGAUGAGCACCCUGCCAGUAUUCCUGCGAACUGGAAAACUGUGAGAAGUGCCAAGGCAAGCAAGCUUGAAAUUACAGUUUUCAUUUAGCUUGGAAAACAAAUUUACUGUCUGUACAGCCCAUCCUUCUUGUCAAAGAAGCACAAGGUGAAGAAAACACAGCUGUGAGGCAGCCCCUUGCAGCUGAACAUCUCUAUCAGGCAGGAGGUCUUUGUAUGGUGUGAGCUGCUGAUAAGACCCAGGAGACUCACAGCUACCACACAGCAGGGAGCAGUUUGUAGCCUCAGCACUUCCACCAAGCGGCUUGGGUGUUGCUCUCAAAGUCCCAGAAAACAUCAGAUCAAUCCAUCAUUGCUUUCACACACAUCCCAUGGACAGUGCCUGUUUGUCAGCCUCCCAUCACAGAGCUUCUCCCACUGAACAGCAGCUGAAGUUACCUGGCAGAAGUCAUUCUCCUGUAUGGCACAGAUAAUCUCACAUGUAUUUUUGUUGGGUUUAGGGAGAUUUGUGCAGUAUGAGCAUGUACUUUUUCCACAGGGUGGUGAUUUGGAUCAAAGGCUCUGAUGUAACAUGGUAGAUUCUUUGGCUCACUCAGCUCUGCUCUACAGAAUUAUAAAUAUAGGCAACACAUUAUUAAAAAUUUAACAAGUU
Long non-coding RNA from Vidua chalybeata, 4510 nucleotides. RefSeq lists it as uncharacterized. The transcript has 2 exons. NCBI's taxonomy places the organism in Eukaryota, Metazoa, Chordata, Aves, Passeriformes, Viduidae. The record is from RefSeq and is a predicted model, not a curated record.